GGCUAUUACUGUUAGGUCUUUGUUUGUGCUGCUCCCGAUGGAGCCAGGCACAAUGGCCUAACAAGGAGGAGCCCUUCUAGACAUGUGGGGAGUAGUUGGAGCUGUCAUUGGCAAAAGGAGGUGAAGCUACUUCUUGCUUCUUUCCGGUCAGAUCUAGGUUUUCUGUUGUGGCAGACAGAGUGGCACCACCCUUAGUGGUUGUGCUAGUGGUUGGAUGCAAUGUGCUGAAUAGUCACCAUUCUGCCAUCAUCAUUAACAGGCCGACUCCACCGCAACUCCUUCGUAGUUCCCUAACAAAUAACACUAAUAUUGCAAUUAAUGGCACUUCACUAGCCACCUACACCUUUGCCGU
This 352-nucleotide long non-coding RNA is filed under the name Sorghum bicolor (sorghum). Its description in RNAcentral is "long non-coding RNA (SBIC_LNC014909)". Lineage: Eukaryota; Viridiplantae; Streptophyta; Magnoliopsida; Poales; Poaceae. The record is from RNAcentral.